RNAcentral lists this small RNA (217 nucleotides) under Limnoraphis robusta CS-951. Its description in RNAcentral is "HNH endonuclease-associated RNA and ORF (HEARO) RNA". It matches the Rfam family "HNH endonuclease-associated RNA and ORF (HEARO) RNA". Lineage: Bacteria; Bacillati; Cyanobacteriota; Cyanophyceae; Oscillatoriales; Sirenicapillariaceae. The record is from Rfam by way of RNAcentral.
GUCACGAACCCGCCGUUAACCGCGAAAGCGGUAUAACGGGGGCUUGAAAAAGUCCAAACGUGACCAGACUAAGUUCUUAGAGAACUCCGUUAUCUGGGUCAAGACACCUAAGAAUGCGUGCCAGUUUUUAGCUCUGUCGUCUAACUUUAAACAGAUUUAAUCGGGUUAAGUUAGUGAGUUAGACCCAACAAGCCCAGAUAACAUUGUCAAGGCAAAC